RNAcentral lists this ribosomal RNA (824 nucleotides) under Agapanthia sp. IBE JGZ-3835. Its description in RNAcentral is "partial large subunit ribosomal RNA". It matches the Rfam family "Eukaryotic large subunit ribosomal RNA", at positions 231 to 784 of the family's 3401-position model. Lineage: Eukaryota; Metazoa; Arthropoda; Insecta; Coleoptera; Cerambycidae. The record is from RNAcentral.
CCGCUGCCGAUCGCGGGAGGAUCUCUCCUCAGAGUCGGGUUGCUUGAGAGUGCAGCCCUAAGUGGGUGGUAAACUCCAUCUAAGGCUAAAUAUGACCACGAGACCGAUAGCGAACAAGUACCGUGAGGGAAAGUUGAAAAGCACUUUGAAGAGAGAGUUCAAGAGUACGUGAAACCGUUCAGGGGUAAACCUGAGAAACCCGAAAGGUCGAAAGGGGAAAUUCAUUCGCGUUUCGGCGGUCGGAGUAUGACGGUCGCGUGACGGGCGGCGUACGCGUCGUCCGCAUCGACCGUUGUACCUGUCCGGCUUCGAACGCGUGCACUUUUCCCCUAGUAGGACGUCGCGAUCCGUUGGGUGUCGGUUUAAGGCUCUCGCGGUGGAGCCCGAGCGUACGUUUCACGACGUUUCGCGCUCGGACCCGCGGUGCCCCGACCGACCCGCUCGACGGUAGACAGAUGGCGCGGGGCCGCUAACCUACAGUUAGCGCCCGGCCCGCGGCAAGCGCGUUCGGUGUGACGGCGAUCGGACCUGGUGCCGGUCCUGUCCCCGGACGACUGUUGGCUGCGGUGUUCUCGGGCAGACCUCGUCUCUCGAAACGCCGAUCUGCGACGCUAUAGCUUUGGGUACUUUCAGGACCCGUCUUGAAACACGGACCAAGGAGUCUAGCAUGUGCGCGAGUCAUUGGGACAUAACUAAACCUAAAGGCGCAAUGAAAGUGAAGGUCCGCCUUGCGCGGACCGAGGGAAGAUGAGCGUUGCACCACCGUAUUAACGUGCGGUGGCCGCUGCUCCGCACUCCCGGGGCGUCUCGUUCUCAUCGCGAGA